GUGCUUGCUUCGGCAACACAUAUGCUAACAUUGGAACAAUACAGUGAAGAUUGGCAUGGUCCUUGCUCAAGAAUGACACACAAAUUCAUGAAGGAUUCCGUAUUUAA
Leptonychotes weddellii (Weddell seal) is the source of this 107-nucleotide small nuclear RNA. Lineage: Eukaryota; Metazoa; Chordata; Mammalia; Carnivora; Phocidae. The record is from RefSeq and is a predicted model, not a curated record.